GACGAACGCUGGCGGCGUGCCUAACACAUGCAAGUCGAGCGGAGCGGCGAACGGGCGAGUAACGCGUGAGUAACUGCCCCCCUCUCUGGGAUAACAGUUGGAAACGGCUGCUAAUACCGGAUAGUGGGGGAUGACUCGCGUCCUAUCUGCUUGUUGGUGGGGUAGUGGCCUACCAAGGCGACGACGCUUAGCCGGCCUGAGAGGGCGACCGGCCACAUUGGGCUGAAAUACGGCCCAGACUCCUACGGGAGGCAGCAGUGGGGAAUAUUGCACAAUGGGGGAAACCCUGAUGCAGCAACGCGCGUGCGGGAUGACGGCCUUCGGGUUGUAAAGUACUUUCAGCGGGGAGGGUGAAUAACCGCAGCGAUUGACGUUACUCGCAGAAGAAGCACCGGCUAACUCCGUGCCAGCAGCCGCGGUAAUUC
Molecule: ribosomal RNA, 425 nt
Filed under: uncultured bacterium
Lineage: Bacteria
Description: partial 16S ribosomal RNA
Rfam family: Bacterial small subunit ribosomal RNA
Source: RNAcentral